GUGGGGAAUAUUGGACAAUGGGCGCAAGCCUGAUCCAGCCAUGCCGCGUGAGUGACGAAGGUCUUCGGAUUGUAAAGCUCUUUUGGCGGGGACGAUAAUGACGGUACCCGCAGAAUAAGCCCCGGCUAACUUCGUGCCAGCAGCCGCGGUAAUACGAAGGGGGCUAGCGUUGUUCGGAAUUACUGGGCGUAAAGCGCACGUAGGCGGAUUUGUAAGUCAGGGGUGAAAUCCCGGGGCUCAACCUCGGAACUGCCUUUGAUACUGCAAAUCUCGAGUCCGGAAGAGGUGAGUGUAAUUCCUAGUGUAGAGGUGAAAUUCGUAGAUAUUAGGAAGAACACCAGUGGCGAAGGCGGCUCACUGGUCUGGUACUGACGCUGAGGUGCGAAAGCGUGGGGAGCAAACAGGAUUAGAAACCCGUGUAGUCC
Molecule: ribosomal RNA, 425 nt
Filed under: uncultured bacterium
Lineage: Bacteria
Description: bacterial SSU rRNA
Rfam family: Bacterial small subunit ribosomal RNA
Source: RNAcentral